AUCGCUUCUCGGCCUUUUGGCUAAGAUCAAGUGUAGUAUCAUAUGAUUUUUACGUGGAAACAAAACAAAAAGGCUGUCAUAUUUUAGAUCUUUUGGUCUUGUUUGUGGCAUUGGACAUGAUCUGGGACAGUAUACUGGAUUUUGGGUGCCCCCAUGUAAAAAUCAAGAGGAUCCAUGAGGAUCCAUGCUUU
Molecule: small nuclear RNA, 191 nt
Organism: Eublepharis macularius
Lineage: Eukaryota; Metazoa; Chordata; Lepidosauria; Squamata; Eublepharidae
Product: U2 spliceosomal RNA
Exons: 1
Source: RefSeq, a predicted model, not a curated record